UCAUGUCUAGAGGGUGUAUAUUUUUCCUACACUUAGAGAUACGGGAAACUGGACGUUAUAUUAAUGUGUUGAAUGCCUGCUACGAGCAGGAAUCCUAAUUUAAUAUACAGGUUACCCACCUGGACUUACCAGGAAAGAUCUCCCCCUUUAGAUUUCAU
RNAcentral lists this non-coding RNA (158 nucleotides) under Erysipelotrichaceae bacterium. Its description in RNAcentral is "6S RNA". It matches the Rfam family "6S / SsrS RNA". From Rfam's summary of the family: E. coli 6S RNA was the first non coding RNA to be sequenced, but its function was unknown until recently. It consists of 184 nucleotides that fold into an extended hairpin structure with a large single-stranded internal bulge. The 6S RNA specifically associates with RNA polymerase holoenzyme containing the sigma70 specificity factor. The record is from RNAcentral. Lineage: Bacteria; Bacillati; Bacillota; Erysipelotrichia; Erysipelotrichales; Erysipelotrichaceae.